This is a long non-coding RNA of Marmota monax (woodchuck), 1106 nucleotides long. RefSeq lists it as uncharacterized. The record is from RefSeq and is a predicted model, not a curated record. The transcript is spliced from 2 exons. Lineage: Eukaryota; Metazoa; Chordata; Mammalia; Rodentia; Sciuridae.
GAAGGGACUUCCGGUUAUCGAGUCGGGCCUUCGGUCGCGUGGGUUAGCGGAUGUGCUUCUUUCUAGGGUUUUCUGCCUCAGGAAGCCGAAGCCCCUGGGCACCCCACUUACCCUAAGCACCCAGUAGGUUCGACUUCGCGAACCGGGGGAUCAUCACCAUUUUACUCGAGGAGGAGGCAGCCUGGGCAAGUCCAUCUCCCCACGUCGCAGUUGGAGCCCUUACCCGCCCACUUCCCCAGGGGCCCAGUUCUUGUCGAGGUCCUCAAAAAAAAAUAGUGACAAAUUCUCGUCCAGUUCUUGGAGGAUGGAAGCCACACUCAGGCGUUUUCAUCUGACAUCCUGAUCGCGGGUGUCUAAUCAGUAUUGAGACUGUAAAGUGCAGAAGAGGUUCCCGUGGAGUCUUAGGACUUGCAGUUCCGAAGACUCAGGUUCGGGUGAACCCGAAGUGUGUUCCAAAGAACGGAGCCAAGGGAUUGGGUUUAAGAAAGAAAAACCCCCAAAACAUUUGGUGCAGGCAAGCGUCAAAGUCCAUAGUCAAUUGAUCAACUUGCGGCAUCGCUGUGGGUGGUCUGUAGGCUCCAUUUCCCUCGUAGAAUUUACCGUGAAUUCACUUGAUUAAGAACUGGCCUACUCUGGUGUCUUUGGCCACAAACUAGUUAGGGUUCUGUGGGGAGAAACAAACAAAAGCAACAACAACAGAAACCCUACUUCACCUCCUGGGAAGAACGUUUCAAUUGUAAUGGGAAGCUUAACCACUGAACCACAUCUCCAGACUGUUGGCAACAGAUCCACCUUGGCCCCUGGAGCCCUACCUCCACUAGUUUGUUCUGCAUGCCAGUGUGGCCAGCUCACAAGGCCAUGGCGAACUUGCGGUUUUUCUGUUCCUGCUUAUCCGUCUGAGACAUAUGUAUCCCACGGGAAUGCCUUGACCUUUUCUGGUCUGAUGGACUUCUUGUUAAGGGAGGUUUCGGUACCUGACAAUAAUAGAUGUUGAAACUAAAUUUCUCCCCCCUCCCUCCUGCUUUUGGGUAGUUUUCCACUUCUGCUGCUUGGGGUAUUAAAAAAGGUGUGUUAGCAAUAAAGAUUAUUGACUCCUGGAUGAAGAA